Lathyrus oleraceus (garden pea) is the source of this 1375-nucleotide long non-coding RNA. RefSeq lists it as uncharacterized. The transcript is spliced from 3 exons. Lineage: Eukaryota; Viridiplantae; Streptophyta; Magnoliopsida; Fabales; Fabaceae. The record is from RefSeq and is a predicted model, not a curated record.
UUCUAAUGCUAUGACCAGUUGCCUUGCUAGCAGGAUUUAGGAACUCCCUCAGGUGGCAGCAGGUUUUGUAUUAUAUUUGGUUCAUGGCAUUACAAACAAGUGUGUUACAGGUUGAGUCUCAAUGGUUAUGGAUAAAGUUUAGCUUGAGUUGGAAACAGGUCUUGGGGAUUUAGGUUCAUGGUAAGUUAACACGCUUCAUGACCUGAUAUUUGUGAUGUCUCUGCUAUUAGUUACAGGCCUGAACUCGUCUUGCAAUGGUGUCCUGAGUUUGCUGCUGUCUUGUCCAGUAGGUUUUGCCUUGUGCAUCAUGGCUCCAACUUGCUUCACCAUUUGGCUAGUUUUAGUUGUCACAGGUUGUAACUUUGGUGAAAUUCGUUGGAUGGUUGGAAGUUCCGUGUGGUGAUGUUGGUUUGUUGCAAGUUGUGUGCCUUGAUGCACUGCUUUCUGCAGAAUUUAUUUGGUUUAUGGCAUGGGGUUUCACAGGUAAAGGCAAUCAUAGCCAGAGUGGUACAUGCAGACACAACAAUAACAAAGGGAGCCAUAGAGAAACUGCUUCCCAACUUCAAAGAUAUUUCUUUGGAAAAUUGUUUCCUCUCAACAAAACAGCAAACCAGCACAAGGAGCCCAGUUGACCAUUGAAGAAUAAACAAGAGCAUAGCAGCAACCAUCAGGCUAAAAAAAAAUUGCCUAUAGUUUUUUUUCAAUACAGUUGUUGAGCCAUCGGCAAUGAUGAUCAAAGUGAUUUACACACUUAUCGCAAACUCUGCAGUGCUUGCUGUAUUUGAAGACCUCAACUUCACACAAACUGCAAUAGAACAUGCCAUCUUCACUGGUAUGCUUAUCAGAAGAUUUCUCACUUGAACCAGAGCAGCGACAUACGUAGGCACAAGGAGAGCAAACCACGAGGAAACGUGACAAACAAGAAGAUGAUGAAUUUGCCUUCUCAACUGAAUUAUAAGCAUCCUUCAUAUUUCCUUCAGUUCCAAAUGCUUCACUAUCCAUGGAAUUUCCUCCAACUGUUGAAGCAUUUGCAUCAUGCAUUGAUGGGGUUGACUCUUCACCUAGUUUAGAACCCUUUAGCCCAACAAUCUUUUUACUGUCUGGAAUUUUAAGAUACUGUUUGGACUUAAAAAACCCCAGGAUCUGCUGCAGUGCACCAAAUGUAGAGUCCAAAAAAACAACAGCAAUCAGAGGUGUGUAAAGAGCGACGGCAAUAUACUGAUACAUCUUGUUUCCAACAAAAGGAGCAAAGAACACGUAGAAAGCAAACCCCAGAGCCAAAAACACAGCAACAGCCACAACCUGAAGAGGAUGGUAAGGUAGCUGCCAUCCAUGCUUCCUCAUAGUUCUACUUCAGAAGUAACAGUAUAUAAAA